Molecule: long non-coding RNA, 205 nt
Filed under: Elaeis guineensis (African oil palm)
Lineage: Eukaryota; Viridiplantae; Streptophyta; Magnoliopsida; Arecales; Arecaceae
Description: long non-coding RNA (EGUI_LNC028310)
Source: RNAcentral
CACAAAGGAAACAUUGCACAUAUAAAGAAAAACUUCAAGUUUCAUCCAUUCAUUCAUUCAAAAAGAUACAAUGAGUCUAAAAAGCAUACAACAAUCGACAUUCUCAAAAGGAAACUUGAUCAUAUCAUAAGAUACUGACAAACAAAAAGUUCAAAAAGACAAUGCAGCUACAUGCAACCUAAUCUAAGCUAGGAUCAGGAGGGGC